RNAcentral lists this ribosomal RNA (1457 nucleotides) under uncultured bacterium. RNAcentral describes it as "bacterial SSU rRNA". It matches the Rfam family "Bacterial small subunit ribosomal RNA". The record is from RNAcentral.
GAUGAACGCUGGCGGCGUGCUUAACACAUGCAAGUCGAACGAGAACCAUCGGAUCGAGGAUUCGUCCAAGUGAAGGUGGGGAAAGUGGCGGACGGGUGAGUAACGCGUGAGCAAUCUGCCUUGGAGUGGGGAAUAACGGCUGGAAACAGCCGCUAAUACCGCAUGAUACAGCUGGGAGGCAUCUCCCUGGCUGUCAAAGAUUUAUCGCUCUGAGAUGAGCUCGCGUCUGAUUAGCUAGUUGGCGGGGUAACGGCCCACCAAGGCGACGAUCAGUAGCCGGACUGAGAGGUUGGCCGGCCACAUUGGGACUGAGACACGGCCCAGACUCCUACGGGAGGCAGCAGUGGGGAAUAUUGGGCAAUGGGCGCAAGCCUGACCCAGCAACGCCGCGUGAAGGAAGAAGGCUUUCGGGUUGUAAACUUCUUUUGUCAGGGACGAAGCAAGUGACGGUACCUGACGAAUAAGCCCCGGCUAACUACGUGCCAGCAGCCGCGGUAAUACGUAGGGGGCAAGCGUUAUCCGGAUUUACUGGGUGUAAAGGGAGCGUAGACGGCGAAGAAAGUCUGAAGUGAAAGCCCGCGGCUCAACCGCGGAAUGGCUUUGGAAACUUUUUUGCUGGAGUACCGGAGAGGUAAGCGGAAUUCCUAGUGUAGCGGUGAAAUGCGUAGAUAUUAGGAGGAACACCAGUGGCGAAGGCGGCUUACUGGACGGUAACUGACGUUGAGGCUCGAAAGCGUGGAGAGCAAACAGGAUUAGAUACCCUGGUAGUCCACGCGGUAAACGAUGAAUGCUAGGUGUUGGUGGACAAAGUCCAUCGGUGCCGUCGCAAACGCAGUAAGCAUUCCACCUGGGGAGUACGUUCGCAAGAAUGAAACUCAAAGGAAUUGACGGGGACCCGCACAAGCGGUGGAGCAUGUGGUUUAAUUCGAAGCAACGCGAAGAACCUUACCAGGUCUUGACAUCCCCCUGACAGGGCAUGUAAUGUGCCUUUCCUUCGGGACAGGGGAGACAGGUGGUGCAUGGUUGUCGUCAGCUCGUGUCGUGAGAUGUUGGGUUAAGUCCCGCAACGAGCGCAACCCUUAUCCUUAGUAGCCAGCACAUGAAGGUGGGCACUCUGGGGAGACUGCCGGGGAUAACCCGGAGGAAGGUGGGGAUGACGUCAAAUCAUCAUGCCCCUUAUGAUCUGGGCUACACACGUGCUACAAUGGCGUAAACAAAGGGAAGCGAGAUUGUGAAAUGGAGCAAAUCCCAAAAAUAACGUCUCAGUUCGGAUUGUAGUCUGCAACUCGACUACAUGAAGCUGGAAUCGCUAGUAAUCGCAGAUCAGAAUGCUGCGGUGAAUACGUUCCCGGGUCUUGUACACACCGCCCGUCACACCAUGGGAGUCGGAAAUGCCCGAAGUCAGUGACCUAGCCGAAAGGAAGGAGCUGCCGAAGGUGGAGCCGGUAACUGGGGUG